GGUCACAUAGAGUUGGUAGAUGCAGGUGCUGCACACAGAGCUCCUACAAAAUGUAUAAAAGCUUUACUUAGAGAGGUCAGUAAUUGUUUCUGAAUGGGCUCUCAGAGGAAACUGUCUCAUUUGGUUUGUUCCUCUUCAUGGUCAUUCUUUAAUGGAAGAAAAUUCAAAGAAUAACAAGCAUCCUGAAGAAUAUUACUUAGAAGCUUAUGACAUUACUGAUUAUUAUAUGGAUCUGUUUAUUGUAUUUGCUACCAUCACUUCAGCCGGACAUCAUUAGGAGCAGAGCUGAGUAUGUGCCACAUCACAGUGAGGAGUCACCAGCUCCAGGAAGAUGGAAGACAUUUCUUGGAAAGAAUGGACAGCUUGUGGGAUGAAAAACAUGCUUGAAUACCUUCACCUAACAUGGAAGUCAAGUUAAAAGGCAAGCAGAAAUCUUCCAAGAGAGUCAAAGCGGAACGGUCUGUGGACAGAAAAUGUCAUGUGGCCAGGAUUUUCAGACACAAAGAACACCAAGACAAUCUCUCCUAGCACAGCACUGGUCUGGGCUUCCAAAGCACUGUGCCCAAAAGGGAUCACUCCUGAAAUCUGUUUGGGGUUAUACAGGUGAUGAAGAAUCCAUCCAUCACUACUUUCCUCCAGCAAUCGGCGGCCUCAGCUUGCAGUGGGCUGGUCUGUCUCCAGUAGCACAGAUUCUUCAUCCCUGCCCUCCAACAUGCACAUACAUCUGGAGAUCUACAUGCAUGAGACCUCCAUAUCUUAUCAGGGAAGGUCUGAAUGACACGUGCUGGAGAAAGAGAUUGGAUCAUACUGAAAAAGUAAAUCCAAGUAUUGAAGAGCAGCUCUAAGACUGGUUAAAGACUGGUUACAGGCAAUGACAGAAGAGAAGAAGCACUGAUUUCAUGAUAAUGUGACAUUAUUGCCACCUAAUUAUUUGUGUAAUAUCGUUGGCACUCAUAGAUGAAACCUGUUAUAGGAUAUUGGCAUACUUCCUAUUACAGUCUGGAUGGUGAUGCUGACAGUGCUGAAGGAUAUGUAGCUUCUCAAAAUGUUCUGCAGUACAGUUAUUUCUCAUAGCCAUGACUCAUUCAACACCAUUAUUAAUUAUCUAUCUGUUAUAGAGAAGAACAUAACCAUGUGAACAGUAACAUUAUGAAUACUGGUAAGCAAGAUAAGUUUUGUAAAAAAAGUAAAAGAAGGAACAACAAGCAAGAAUUUUUGCCCUUUUCCCCUAGUGGCCAUCAGCUCUGUGGUUUAAUUUCUCCCAGCUUUAUGGACAAUUGAACUCUACGCUUCUUUACCUGAGCACUAUGGACAUUAAAAAUAUAUAUAUAGAGAGAGAUCAGAGAUCCAGGUGCAAAGGCAUUGGGACUUUCAACUGUGAAACUGCUGAAACUAUUCCAUGGGGCAAAGUGAAAAGUUAACUUGACUUUUUUGAAGAUUGAGUACCUAGGCUCUGUCAAGAGCAUCCACGGGCUAUCACCAUUUUGUUUACUGUGUGACAUCAA
Molecule: long non-coding RNA, 1505 nt
Organism: Falco peregrinus (peregrine falcon)
Lineage: Eukaryota; Metazoa; Chordata; Aves; Falconiformes; Falconidae
Exons: 4
Source: RefSeq, a predicted model, not a curated record